GCAGAGACUGCCACUGACCUCGACCAGCAGUUUCAGUGGAAUGGGUGUCCCUGUGCCACCCAGGCUGGAGUGCAGUGUUAUGAUUUCACCUCACUGCAACCUCUACCUCCCGGAGUUCUAGCGAUCCUCCCACCUCAGCCUCCUGAGUAGCUGGAAUUACAGGCAUGCAUCACCAUGCCCAGCUAAUUUCUUGUAUUUUUAGUAGAGAUGGGAUUUCGCUAUGUUGGCCAGGCUGGUCUCGAACUCUUGACCUCAGGUGAUUGGCCCACCUCGGCCUCCCAAAGUGCUGGGAUUACAGGAGUGAGCUACUGAGCCCGGCCUGAUCUACAUUUUGAUUGCGCUGUUGGUUAUACAGGCCCAUGGGAAAGAUAACUACAACACUGUUUAACAACAGAGACAUUUGA
This 404-nucleotide long non-coding RNA is filed under the name Homo sapiens (human). Its description in RNAcentral is "HSALNT0296829". Lineage: Eukaryota; Metazoa; Chordata; Mammalia; Primates; Hominidae. The record is from RNAcentral.